UGGGGAAUAUUGGACAAUGGGCGAAAGCCUGAUCCAGCCAUGCCGCGUGUGUGAUGAAGGCCUUAGGGUUGUAAAGCUCUUUUGCCGGGGACGAUAAUGACGGUACCCGGAGAAUAAGUCCCGGCUAACUUCGUGCCAGCAGCCGCGGUAAUACGAAGGGGACUAGCGUUGUUCGGAAUCACUGGGCGUAAAGCGCACGUAGGCGGAUUUGUAAGUCAGGGGUGAAAUCCCGGGGCUCAACCUCGGAACUGCCUUUGAUACUGCGGAUCUCGAGUCCGAUAGAGGUGAGUGGAAUUCCUAGUGUAGAGGUGAAAUUCGUAGAUAUUAGGAAGAACACCGGUGGCGAAGGCGGCUCACUGGAUCGGUACUGACGCUGAGGUGCGAAAGCGUGGGGAGCAAACAGGAUUAGAUACCCCGGUAGUCCCUGAGCGGGCUGGCAAGGCGCAU
This 447-nucleotide ribosomal RNA is filed under the name uncultured bacterium. RNAcentral's name for it is "bacterial SSU rRNA". It matches the Rfam family "Bacterial small subunit ribosomal RNA", at positions 355 to 825 of the family's 1533-position model. The record is from RNAcentral.